Molecule: long non-coding RNA, 1427 nt
Organism: Nerophis ophidion (straightnose pipefish)
Lineage: Eukaryota; Metazoa; Chordata; Actinopteri; Syngnathiformes; Syngnathidae
Exons: 2
Source: RefSeq, a predicted model, not a curated record
UGUUGUGACCCUCUUAAACAAGACAAUACUGCCAUCUACUGUACAUAGAAUAGAAUGUAAAUAUAUUCUACAUUUAAGUGCAGUCAAGGAACAUGCAUUAGGGAGUCUGUUCUGAAGCCCACAGUAAAGAGACGUAACUUCAUCAUGUCGCCUGGUUAUUGACUCCAACCCAAUAUAUUACACCGUCGACGGGCAAAAUGAAGAAAUAUGCUUGCAAGUUCCAGAACAAUUGGAAACACAAAUUUCAGUUUAUCCAGGAGAGUUCGAAGGGGAAGGGGUAUGUUGUCUGUAAAUUUUGUAGAACAGACUUCUCCAUCGAACACGACGGCCGAACGGAUAUAUUCAGUCAUGAACAGUGAGUCGGUGAAGCACAAAGCGUCCGCAGCGCAGCAUCGUCACAACCCAGUAUUAUGGCCCACAUCGCAAAAUGGAGACCCGAUGGUGUAACUUAUGCUGAGACAAAGAUGGCUACGCUGAUAGCUGGAAGCAACAUCACGUUCUCAUUUGCAGAUGUCUACAACAAAUCCGUGAAGGAUGUUCCCGGAUUCGGAGAUCGCUCGCCAAUACGCAAAUGGCAGAACAAAGGUUACUCAAAUAGUGAAAGGGACGUAAGAGUACUCAGCAUUGAGUGAGCCACACCACAACACUACGGCGCUGGGCGGUGUAACGUAACGUCAAUUCAGUGGUACUGGCAGGUAAAAACACCACAAGACCACAAGACCAGAAGAAUGCUUUAUUUGGUGGUCGCCAUCACAACAUACAAUUUCAAAUGCAACCAUUCACCAAAAGAAAAUGAAAAGGCCAAGGUUGUCGUGUACUGCAUGGGGGGAAAAGCAAAAUUCAAAAUAAGCAUGUUCAAAAAUAAUGUACCUCUCCCACGAUGGUGAAAAACAUGUUCCCACCCAGGUGCAGCAGAUUGUAUAUAACACUCCCCCAUGAUGCUUCAAUCAAACAAAACAAGGAAAAUGUAUCUAAGAUGAACAGAAGACAAAUAUAAUCCAAAUCCAAUCAUAUUAUUUCAGCAUAUUUAAUUUUAGAAAGUAAAUCCUGAACCUCAAGACUAGAAAGAAUACAUUUCUGACAGGUGGUUAUUUUCCAUUUGAUUGGGAAAAAGUUUGUGCAGGUAUAUUAUUUCAAAUAAAACGUCUUAAAAUGUUUUUGUUUUCUGCUCUAAAUAAUAUCAAAAGGUUUGAAAAGCAAAGAAGACAUUAAUUUUGUAUUGCUGCCUCCGACAUGAACCUUCCUGGCAAAUUUCCCAGCAAAUUGCAUUUUCCUUUUUGUUUCUGCCUUGGAUUUUGUAGCCAAUUCCUGUCUCUUCGACUCCCUUUCCACUUCUGACUGAUCCAAGUGCAAAAAUCAUUAUUAUCUAACUUCAUUUAUCUGAGUAGCAAUAUUUUGAAAUAACAAAUAUCUUGCAGUCGUGUUGU